RNAcentral lists this ribosomal RNA (460 nucleotides) under uncultured bacterium. Its description in RNAcentral is "partial 16S ribosomal RNA". It matches the Rfam family "Bacterial small subunit ribosomal RNA", at positions 338 to 795 of the family's 1533-position model. The record is from RNAcentral.
CCUACGGGUGGCAGCAGUGAGGAAUAUUGGUCAAUGGACGAGAGUCUGAACCAGCCAAGUCGCGUGAAGGAUGACUGCCCUAUGGGUUGUAAACUUCUUUUAUACAGGAAUAAAAUGUUCCACGUGUGCGCUUUUGUAUGUACUUUAUGAAUAAGGAUCGGCUAACUCCGUGCCAGCAGCCGCGGUAAUACGGAGGAUCCGAGCGUUAUCCGGAUUUAUUGGGUUUAAAGGGAGCGUAGGUGGAUUGUUAAGUCAGUUGUGAAAGUUUGCGGCUCAACCGUAAAAUUGCAGUUGAUACUGGCAGUCUUGAGUACAGUAGAGGUAGGCGGAAUUCGUGGUGUAGCGGUGAAAUGCUUAGAGAUCACGAAGAACUCCGAUUGCGAAGGCAGCUCACUAAACUGCAACUGACAUUGAGGCUCGAAAGUGUGGGUAUCAAACAGGAUUAGAUACCCCUGUAGUC